GACGAACGCUGGCGGCGUGCUUAACACAUGCAAGUCGAACGGUAAGGCCCUUCGGGGUACACGAGUGGCGAACGGGUGAGUAACACGUGGGUGAUCUGCCCUGCACUUCGGGAUAAGCCUGGGAAACUGGGUCUAAUACCGGAUAGGACCACUGCCUGCAUGGGUGGUGGUGGAAAGCUUUUGCGGUGUGGGAUGGGCCCGCGGCCUAUCAGCUUGUUGGUGGGGUGAUGGCCUACCAAGGCGACGGCGGGUAGCCGGCCUGAGAGGGUAACCGGCCACACUGGGACUGAGCUACGGCGCAGACUCCUACGGGAGGCAGCAGUGGGUAAUAUUGCACAAUGGGCGCAAGCCUGAUGCAGCGACGCCGCGUGAGGGAUGACGGCCUUCGGGUUGUAAACCUCUUUCAGCACCGACGAAGCGCAAGUGACGGUAGGUGCAGAAGAAGGACCGGCCAACUACGUGCCAGCCGCCGCGGUAA
This 478-nucleotide ribosomal RNA is filed under the name uncultured bacterium. RNAcentral's name for it is "partial 16S ribosomal RNA". It matches the Rfam family "Bacterial small subunit ribosomal RNA", at positions 28 to 523 of the family's 1533-position model. The record is from RNAcentral.